UCCCUGGUGGCUCAGAGGGUAAAGCGUCUGCCUACAAUGCGGGAUACCCGGGUUCAAUCCCUGGGUGGGGAA
RNAcentral lists this transfer RNA (72 nucleotides) under Bos taurus (domestic cattle). It matches the Rfam family "tRNA". Rfam says of the family: Transfer RNA (tRNA) molecules are approximately 80 nucleotides in length. Their secondary structure includes four short double-helical elements and three loops (D, anti-codon, and T loops). Further hydrogen bonds mediate the characteristic L-shaped molecular structure. tRNAs have two regions of fundamental functional importance: the anti-codon, which is responsible for specific mRNA codon recognition, and the 3' end, to which the tRNAs corresponding amino acid is attached (by aminoacyl-tRNA synthetases). tRNAs cope with the degeneracy of the genetic code in two manners: having more than one tRNA (with a specific anti-codon) for a particular amino acid; and 'wobble' base-pairing, i.e. permitting non-standard base-pairing at the 3rd anti-codon position. The record is from Rfam by way of RNAcentral. Lineage: Eukaryota; Metazoa; Chordata; Mammalia; Artiodactyla; Bovidae. RNAcentral also lists the same sequence under 3 other names.